GACGAACGCUGGCGGUGUGCUUAACACAUGCAAGUCGAACGGUAAGGCCCUUUCGGGGGUACACGAGUGGCGAACGGGUGAGUAACACGUGAGUAACCUGCCCUCAUCUCUGGGAUAACAGUCGGAAACGGUUGCUAAUACUGGAUAUGAGCUUGCAAGGCAUCUUGUGGGUUGGAAAGAUUUUUUUGGUUGGGGAUGGACUCGCGGCCUAUCAGCUUGUUGGUGAGGUAGUGGCUCACCAAGGCUUCGACGGGUAGCCGGCCUGAGAGGGCGACCGGCCACAUUGGGACUGAGAUACGGCCCAAACUCCUACGGGAGGCAGCAGUGGGGAAUAUUGCACAAUGGACGGAAGUCUGAUGCAGCUACGCCGCGUGCGGGAUGACGGCCUUCGGGUUGUAAACCGCUUUCAAUUGUGACGAAGCUUUUUUGUGACGGUAGCAGUAGAAGAAGCACCGGCUAACUACGUG
Molecule: ribosomal RNA, 467 nt
Filed under: uncultured bacterium
Lineage: Bacteria
Description: partial 16S ribosomal RNA
Rfam family: Bacterial small subunit ribosomal RNA
Source: RNAcentral